GGUUAGUAUGUGAAGCUGGAAGUACUGUUACUAAUGUGUCAGGAUACUUACGUGUUAGCCACAGUUAUGCUAUUUCAAAGGACACCUGCCCUUUAGGAGGAAAAAACCCCUCCAGCUAUAUUUGUACCCUUGACUGACAUCUGGACGGGAUUGAUGUUGGGUGCAUUGUUGGGGGAAGUUUGCAAUACAAACUGGUAUCAGAAUUCCUUAUGCUGAUGAUGCACUUUAUGUAUAUUUUUAUUAGAAAGUAGAACUAAUUUUAGCCUUUUCAGCUUGAUGGAUUUCAGUUUUUUCCUGAAGGGCGUUCUUCAUUAUUAAUCUUGUGGUGGGUUCCCAUUGUGUGGCGAGUGGUGUGCUGUGCUUCACAGGCAUCGAGGCCACCUGGCUCAGCCCUGUGAGGUCACCCUUUCAGACCAAGUACCAGCUCUUAGGAUAUGCGCUUGGCGCUGGAGCAGUAAUUAGUAAGUGUUUGGUUUUGAUGGGACAGGAUCAAGAAAGGAGACACUGGUUUCAUCUGUACAGCUGUUUGAGGGUGCGAACAAUCAGCAGUCAGACGGCAGAUACUGUAUGGAGCUAACAAAGCUCCAUGUUCUCUUAUCCUUAAUCAUUUGUCUUAAAACAAGGAAAAACUUCCUGUACCCCCCACCCCCACUGCCUUCUCUGCUUGUGUGCACAAGAUGCGCUUGUAUAUUGUUUCACAGAAAACUCAGUAUGCUCGUGUUUUCUCAACCAUGAUGUGAAACCAACAGUCCUGUGGCCCCCUGGCUAGUAUUGAGUGAAGUUUUACUAAAAGUAAUUCCUGUGAAGCAUGUUAUCCAUCUUGGAUGGCCGUUCAGUCUCCACGUAAGAGAAGAUGUGUAUACUCCACAGAAUACCUGCUUAUGGUAAAGUUAAUUUCUAAUUUAAACGUGUAAGCAAAAGCAUUUUCUCUAGAAUUUUAAAUCAAUUUUUAUUUGUAAUGACUUACUAAAAUUCAUUAGUGAAAUUUACAUGUAGAAACAUAAAAAGUUUCUAGCAAGCACUUGACAUCUGGUCAGCUUUCUACUCAUUUAUCCUGCAAAAGAUUUAAAAUACCUUUC
RNAcentral lists this long non-coding RNA (1079 nucleotides) under Bos taurus (domestic cattle). RNAcentral's name for it is "long non-coding RNA NONBTAT015835". The record is from RNAcentral. Lineage: Eukaryota; Metazoa; Chordata; Mammalia; Artiodactyla; Bovidae.